GGGAAGGUGACUGCGCCUGGGGGCGUAGGCUGUCUUGAAAACAGAGCGAACGGGGGACCGUUUGGGGUUCGAUUCCUCCGCCUUCCUU
RNAcentral lists this transfer RNA (88 nucleotides) under Armatimonadota bacterium. Its description in RNAcentral is "Armatimonadetes bacterium tRNA-Ser". It matches the Rfam family "Selenocysteine transfer RNA". Lineage: Bacteria; Bacillati; Armatimonadota. The record is from RNAcentral.